This is a long non-coding RNA of Chelonoidis abingdonii (Abingdon island giant tortoise), 1059 nucleotides long. RefSeq lists it as uncharacterized. The record is from RefSeq and is a predicted model, not a curated record. Lineage: Eukaryota; Metazoa; Chordata; Testudines; Testudinidae.
UCCCAUAAGUCAAAACUGUGCCUCAUUUCAGAUAAUUUGAAGAACAUUUUAUUUAUUUGUAAGAAGGUAUAAAAAACAAACAAACAAAUAAAGGGGAAGACUUCUUAGCAGGUCGAUAUUUGAAAACAUAACAACCCUAUUUGCUCCUUCUCAUAUUCCUAAUGUGCACAUUUCACAAAAACUGUCAGAUUGUGUGCUAAAUUGAUGAAUACAUAUUUAACAAUCCACAAUGUGUCUGUAUCUUCUUUGUACUUGCCUAGGUCGCUUAACUAGUGAAUUCCUGAUUCUUUCAUCCUUACAGAAAACCAUGGAUUCUUGCUCACUACCAACAUUGUGCGAAUGGUGAUACAAAGUAAGGAGACAAUAGGCUCAUCCGCUCUGUGAAUAGAAGAAGUACCAUGUGUCCUGGGAGUCCAAACAAAGCUAACCAAUGCAGCUGGAAGGAGGAGGAUGAUUUAAGAGGAAGACUUGUUUGAUGGGGCUCAGAAUGGUGAAUAGUUGCCAGUUUGCUCAAGAACAACAAAAACCUUGUAGAUGGUGCUGAUGGUUUAAGACAAUCAAGCUGUUUGAAGCUGCCAGUAUUGAGCUCCCCUACUGCCCCUUUGAAAAGAAGAUGCUCCUUUCUGCCAGUUUUGACGCAACUCUACUGGCUACUGUGGCUUGAAAGGAAUAGUCAUGGACAUCUGUGUCUCCUCAGAUGGUAAUGACCUUAGGACACGUGUGGUCUUUGGCUACACAUGCAAGUUUCCUGUUAACGUCAAUGGGAGCCAUGCAUGCAUACGUCUAACGGCACCAUUUGACCUCCUAUAUUAGCCACAGGGAUUUCAAGCCACUUUGCAAACUGCUUGGGCGAACUACUACAUUAAGUAGCUUUUGGCCUCAGGGAUCAGCAGGACCUAGGCAGCCCUAUGAUUGAUGCACCUGAGAGAUUUCUGAUAUACAGAAGGGCCUAAGAGAAUACUAGGAAGAAGGAAACAACAAUUAAGUUAAUUAAUUAACUUAAUCUAAUUACGUUAGCAAAGUGCCUUGGAGAAAAGUUCCUUACUUAAAUGGUGCCAU